GAUGAACGCUGGCGGCGUGCCUAAUACAUGCAAGUCGAGCGAACAGACGAGGAGCUUGCUCCUCUGACGUUAGCGGCGGACGGGUGAGUAACACGUGGAUAACCUACCUAUAAGACUGGGAUAACUUCGGGAAACCGGAGCUAAUACCGGAUAAUAUAUUGAACCGCAUGGUUCAAUAGUGAAAGACGGUUUUGCUGUCACUUAUAGAUGGAUCCGCGCCGCAUUAGCUAGUUGGUAAGGUAACGGCUUACCAAGGCAACGAUGCGUAGCCGACCGGAGAGGGUGAUCGGCCACACUGGAAGUGAGACAGGGUCCAGACUCCUACGGGAGGCAGCAGUAGGGAAUCUUCCGCAGUGGGCGAAAGCCUGACGGAGCAACGCCGCGUGAGUGAUGAAGGUCUUCGGAUCGUAAAACUCUGUUAUUAGGGAAGAACAAAUGUGUAAGUAACUAUGCACGUCUUGACGGUACCUAAUCAGAAAGCCACGGCUAACUACGUG
This 497-nucleotide ribosomal RNA is filed under the name uncultured bacterium. Its description in RNAcentral is "partial 16S ribosomal RNA". It matches the Rfam family "Bacterial small subunit ribosomal RNA", at positions 28 to 507 of the family's 1533-position model. The record is from RNAcentral.